UACGAAGGGGGCUAGCGUUGCUCGGAAUCACUGGGCGUAAAGCGCACGUAGGCGGACUCUUAAGUCGGUGGUGAAAUCCUGGAGCUCAACUCCAGAACUGCCUUCGAUACUGAGAGUCUCGAGUCCGAGAGAGGUGAGUGGAACUGCGAGUGUAGAGGUGAAAUUCGUAGAUAUUCGCAAGAACACCAGUGGCGAAGGCGGCUCACUGGCUCGGUACUGACGCUGAGAAGCGAAAGCAUGGGGAGCGAACAGG
RNAcentral lists this ribosomal RNA (253 nucleotides) under uncultured bacterium. RNAcentral's name for it is "partial 16S ribosomal RNA". It matches the Rfam family "Bacterial small subunit ribosomal RNA", at positions 524 to 776 of the family's 1533-position model. The record is from RNAcentral.